RNAcentral lists this ribosomal RNA (734 nucleotides) under marine metagenome. RNAcentral's name for it is "bacterial SSU rRNA". It matches the Rfam family "Bacterial small subunit ribosomal RNA", at positions 771 to 1520 of the family's 1533-position model. The record is from RNAcentral.
AACAGGAUUAGAUACCCUGGUAGUCCACGCCGUAAACUAUGAUCACUAGAUGUUGGCGAUAUAAUGUCAGCGUUCAAGAGAAAUCGUUAAGUGAUCCACCUGGGGAGUACGUUCGCAAGAAUGAAACUCAAAGGAAUUGACGGGGGCCCGCACAAGCGGUGGAGCAUGUGGUUUAAUUCGAUGAUACGCGAGGAACCUUACCAAGGCUUAAAUGUAAUACGACCGAUUGAGAAAUCAAUCUUUUUUCGAACGGAUUACAAGGUGCUGCAUGGUUGUCGUCAGCUCGUGCCGUGAGGUGUCGGGUUAAGUCCCAUAACGAGCGCAACCCCUAUUUUUAGUUGCCAGCGAGUAAUGUCGGGAACUCUAGAAAGACUGCCUGUGUAAACAGAGAGGAAGGUGGGGAUGACGUCAAAUCAUCACGGCCCUUAUGUCUUGGGCUACACACGUGCUACAAUGGUAAUUACAGUGGGAAGCCAUCUGGCGACAGAGAGCUAAUCCAUAAAAAUUAUCCCAGUUCGGAUCGGAGUCUGCAACUCGACUCUGUGAAGUUGGAAUCGCUAGUAAUCGCACAUCAGCCAUGGUGCGGUGAAUACGUUCCCGGGCCUUGUACACACCGCCCGUCAAGCCAGGAAGCUUGGGGUACCUAAAGUCAGUAACCGCAAGGAGCUGCCUAAGGUAAAACAAGUAACUAGGGCUAAGUCGUAACAAGGUAGCCGUACCGGAAGGUGCGGCUG